GUACUGGGACGAUUCCGCGGAGCCGGGCAGAGGUUUUAGGGGUGCGCAGGAGUCAAGUGGUGGUUCAGUGGGGACGGAAUGAUUAACAAAGGCGUCCGAAGAAAUCGUUGUUGGAAGGUGACCAAGGUGGAAAGAGACGUUGCUUUGGCCCUGCAAGUAAGAAGAGAGAGGGAAUAGCCUGAAGGAGUAACACUAAAUUUAAAAUGACACUUUUUUACCAACCAGCGAAAGCAGAUGUUCAAAGGGGAUAUUGGCCAGAGUCUGUCACACUAAGAUGAGAAAUGUCCUUUCUUCCUGAAGGUGUCUGAUGUGUAAAAAUAUGAUAUACUUUGUGCUGUUUCCUCCCUUCCCUUUUGCAUAUUAUUCUGAAACAACAUUAACUAGUUACUUUGCGUCAUUGAAGAACUCACUUUGAGGCCAAGCGUGGUUGCUCAGGCCUGUAAUCCCAGCACUUUGGGA
Molecule: long non-coding RNA, 459 nt
Filed under: Homo sapiens (human)
Lineage: Eukaryota; Metazoa; Chordata; Mammalia; Primates; Hominidae
Description: non-protein coding RAB30-AS1:34
Source: RNAcentral